This 253-nucleotide ribosomal RNA is filed under the name uncultured bacterium. RNAcentral's name for it is "partial 16S ribosomal RNA". It matches the Rfam family "Bacterial small subunit ribosomal RNA", at positions 524 to 776 of the family's 1533-position model. The record is from RNAcentral.
UACGAAGGGGGCUAGCGUUGCUCGGAAUUACUGGGCGUAAAGGGUGCGUAGGCGGCGCAAGUAGUCAGGCGUGAAAUUCCUGGGCUUAACCUGGGGGCUGCGCUUGAUACGCUUGUGCUAGAGGAUGGAAGAGGCUCGUGGAAUUCCCAGUGUAGAGGUGAAAUUCGUAGAUAUUGGGAAGAACACCGGUGGCGAAGGCGGCGAGCUGGUCCAUUACUGACGCUGAGGCGCGACAGCGUGGGGAGCAAACAGG